Ribosomal RNA from Aotus nancymaae (Ma's night monkey), 119 nucleotides. NCBI's taxonomy places the organism in Eukaryota, Metazoa, Chordata, Mammalia, Primates, Aotidae. The record is from Ensembl.
UCAUACCUCUGUAACACCCUGAACAUGGCCAGUCUUGUCUGACUUUGGAAGCUAAGUAUGGUGGGGCCUGGUUAGUGCUUGGGUGGGACACUGCCUAGGAAUACUGGUUGUUGUAGGAU